CACGUAGGGGGCAAGCGUUGUCCGGAUUUAUUGGGCGUAAAGAGCUCGUAGGCGGCUUAGUAAGUCGGGUGUGAAACCUCCAGGCUCAACCUGGAGACGCCACCCGAUACUGCUGUGGCUAGAGUGCUGGAGAGGAGACUGGAAUUUACGGUGUAGCAGUGAAAUGCGUAGAUAUCGUAAGGAAGACCAGUGGCGAAGGCGAGUCUCUGGACAGCAACUGACGCUGAGGCACGAAGGCCAGGGGAGCAAACGGG
RNAcentral lists this ribosomal RNA (254 nucleotides) under uncultured bacterium. RNAcentral describes it as "partial 16S ribosomal RNA". It matches the Rfam family "Bacterial small subunit ribosomal RNA", at positions 524 to 776 of the family's 1533-position model. The record is from RNAcentral.